CCUACGGGAGGCAGCAGUGGGGAAUAUUGCACAAUGGGCGAAACCCUGAUCCAGCGACGCCGCGUGAGUGAAGAAGUAAUUCGUUAUGUAAAGCUCUAUCAGCAGGGAAGAAAAUGACGGUACCUGAGUCAGAAGCCCCGGCUAACUACGUGCCAGCAGCCGCGGUAAGACGUAGGGGGCAAGCGUUAUCCGGAUUUACUGGGUGUAAAGGGAGCGUAGACGGCAGUGCAGGUCUGGAGUGAAAGGCCGGGGCUCAACCCCCGGACUGCUCUGGAAACUGUACGGCUGGAGUGCAGGAGAGGUAAGUGGAAUUCGUGGUGUAGCGGUGAAAUGCAUAGAUAUCAGGCGGAACACCAGUGGCGAAGGCGGCUUACUGGACUGAAACUGACGCUGAGGCUCGAAAGCGUGGGUAUCGAACAGGAUUAGAUACCCUAGUAGUC
Molecule: ribosomal RNA, 440 nt
Filed under: uncultured bacterium
Lineage: Bacteria
Description: partial 16S ribosomal RNA
Rfam family: Bacterial small subunit ribosomal RNA
Source: RNAcentral